GAAAGCCGAGUGCGAUUAACGUCGCCUGCUCGGUUUGGGAAGGGGGCAACAGAAAAGGGCUGAUAAAGUACCUCGCUGGUGCCCUACUUCAU
Molecule: non-coding RNA, 92 nt
Organism: Ktedonobacter racemifer DSM 44963
Lineage: Bacteria; Bacillati; Chloroflexota; Ktedonobacteria; Ktedonobacterales; Ktedonobacteraceae
Source: Rfam